GGGGUUGUGGCUCAGAGGUACAGUGCUUGUCUAGUAUGUGUGAGGCACUGAGUUCAAUCCUCAGCACCACA
This 71-nucleotide transfer RNA is filed under the name Marmota monax (woodchuck). RNAcentral describes it as "tRNA.Thr". Lineage: Eukaryota; Metazoa; Chordata; Mammalia; Rodentia; Sciuridae. The record is from RNAcentral.